UAGGGAAUCUUCGGCAAUGGACGAAAGUCUGACCGAGCAACGCCGCGUGAGUGAAGAAGGUCUUCGGAUCGUAAAACUCUGUUGUUAGAGAAGAACAAGGACGUUAGUAACUGAACGUCCCCUGACGGUAUCUAACCAGAAAGCCACGGCUAACUACGUGCCAGCAGCCGCGGUAAUACGUAGGUGGCAAGCGUUGUCCGGAUUUAUUGGGCGUAAAGCGAGCGCAGGCGGUUUCUUAAGUCUGAUGUGAAAGCCCCCGGCUCAACCGGGGAGGGUCAUUGGAAACUGGGGGACUAGAGGGCAGAAGAGGAGAGUGGAAUUCCAUGUGUAGCGGUGAAAUGCGUAGAUAUAUGGAGGAACACCAGUGGCGAAGGCGGCUCUCUGGUCUGUAACUGACGCUGAGGCUCGAAAGCGUGGGGAGCAAACAGG
This 429-nucleotide ribosomal RNA is filed under the name Gemmatimonadota bacterium. Its description in RNAcentral is "Gemmatimonadetes bacterium partial 16S ribosomal RNA". It matches the Rfam family "Bacterial small subunit ribosomal RNA", at positions 355 to 776 of the family's 1533-position model. The record is from RNAcentral. Lineage: Bacteria; Pseudomonadati; Gemmatimonadota.